This 620-nucleotide ribosomal RNA is filed under the name uncultured bacterium. RNAcentral describes it as "bacterial SSU rRNA". The stretch from base 1 to 526 matches the Rfam family "Bacterial small subunit ribosomal RNA", at positions 338 to 873 of the family's 1533-position model. The record is from RNAcentral.
CCUACGGGAGGCAGCAGUGGGGAAUAUUGCACAAUGGGCGCAAGCCUGAUGCAGCAACGCCGCGUGAGGGACGACGGCCUUCGGGUUGUAAACCUCUUUUAGUAGGGAAGAAGCGAAAGUGACGGUACCUGCAGAAAAAGCACCGGCUAACUACGUGCCAGCAGCCGCGGUAAUACGUAGGGUGCAAGCGUUGUCCGGAAUUAUUGGGCGUAAAGAGCUCGUAGGCGGUUUGUCGCGUCUGCUGUGAAAACCCCGAGGCUCAACCUCGGGCCUGCAGUGGGUACGGGCAGACUAGAGUGCGGUAGGGGAGAUUGGAAUUCCUGGUGUAGCGGUGGAAUGCGCAGAUAUCAGGAGGAACACCGAUGGCGAAGGCAGAUCUCUGGGCCGUAACUGACGCUGAGGAGCGAAAGCAUGGGGAGCGAACAGGAUUAGAUACCCUGGUAGUCCAUGCCGUAAACGUUGGGAACUAGAUGUAGGGACCAUUCCACGGUUUCUGUGUCCGCNGCUACGACAUACGUUACCCGUCCGUCGGGUAGGUACGGCCGCGACGGACGUAAACGUACGUAAAGGUAAGUUAGUUACGGCGUGAGACGUGCCGACGGCGACGACGAGGGAGGAGG